CAGAUACAGUGAUGAUAACAUAGUUCAGCAGAUUGAACUGUGGUGAAGAACUGCAACUGUCUUUCGCUCCUAUCUGAUGUAUCUC
Small nucleolar RNA from Podarcis muralis (Common wall lizard), 85 nucleotides. Ensembl annotates it as small nucleolar RNA snR60/Z15/Z230/Z193/J17. The record is from Ensembl. Lineage: Eukaryota; Metazoa; Chordata; Lepidosauria; Squamata; Lacertidae.